CAUCGCUUCAGGGCGGGGUGUGAUUCCCCACCGGUGGUAAAUGGAAAAAAGUUUUGCUUUUUAUCCUGUAGCCCACGAGCCGAUCAUCAUGUGAUUGGCAGAUUUGGUUAAAUUCCAAAGCCGACGGUAUAGUCCGGAUGAAAGAAGACGACA
Molecule: non-coding RNA, 153 nt
Filed under: Acinetobacter gerneri
Lineage: Bacteria; Pseudomonadati; Pseudomonadota; Gammaproteobacteria; Moraxellales; Moraxellaceae
Also listed under: 1 other name
Description: FMN sequence
Rfam family: FMN riboswitch aptamer (RFN element)
About the family: The RFN element is a highly conserved domain that is found frequently in the 5'-untranslated regions of prokaryotic mRNAs that encode for flavin mononucleotide (FMN) biosynthesis and transport proteins.
Source: RNAcentral